UCCAUUUAAAAAGCUAAACUUCUGAAACUAAGAAGAUCUAGGAGUCUAUUUCUUAAAGGCCUUUAACAGAAUCAUAGGAUUUUGCUUUAAUUAGAUGGAAAUAUAUAUGUAAAACACACACACGCACACACACAUAUCUUAUCUCCUUGCCUUAUUUGUAUAGAAGAAAAAGAGCGAAAUGAUCUUGCCCAGACCCCAGCUCGGUCAGCAGCCGGCUAGCGGAGGAGAUAGAUAGCCUUUCCUGUGAUGAAGUGAGCCUGUGUAAGAGUCUGGGACCGAGUUACCACUACAAAUUUAGUUUUUCCUCCAUUGCAUUUUUCUCCCAUAAACACUAGAGUCUUCAGAGCAUUUUCCUAUCGCCAUUGUUUUUCUUUUCGCGCAGCUGCGCACAAGUUAAUAUUAGCCAUCCCCCUGCCGGUCCUCUCUGGGAGAUCUCGUUUAAAUUUACUGAGCGAAGGGAGGAGGACGAUAUAAUUAAUCUGUGCCCUCUUAGAAAAUUGAAAGAUUGGGGUGGACUGACUUUUCAAAAAGCUAACUUGUGCGUGGGAACCAGAAAGACUUGUGUUUUUCAUCAAAUGCAGAAAUCGGUAUUGGGGGUGGUGGAGAAAUUCACAUAAUGCAUUUUCCAUGAAAUAGCAUCGUUGUGGAGACCGCUCUUCCGAAUGGAAAGUCAGAGUCGUGCAGAACAUUGGCGCCAUCAGGUCGUGUAUAGAGCAGGAUUUCGUUGAAAGUGGAAUUAAACAUAAAGAGGUUUCUGGGCUUGGGGAAGAAGAAUGGUCGUCAGACAGGAGCAGAAGACGUGAAAGAUUGGUCUGGCCUCGCUUUACUCCAGGCGCCUUGUGGGAUGCUGACCUGUCCCGGGGUGCAGCUGCGCGCACCCCUCCUUGAGCUGUAAGCCUCUGGGCGGUGGAAAAGCAAUCGCCUGCGUCGUGACAGUUCCUACCUACUAAAUUGAAAAUUUGAAAAUCAGAGGCGGCAGGCCCACCCAAGGUGUCUACCAACAUCCGUGGACCACAGGGCUUUUUGCAAGCCCAUGGGAAAGACAGCCUGAGAGACUUCGGAGUGCGUCCUGUCCCAGGCUGUGCCUCUCCUGCUUAAGGGAAGCCUUGAGUGUAUCUCCCUAAAAACAGAUGGGGGCAGGGAAGGGGUCUAGAUCCCGUGGAGCCAGGCCUUGAUUGGAGGUCCGGGCUGGAGAGAGGGAACAUCAACCCGCCCUGACCCCCACAGCUUCCACUCACCCGAAGAGCUGCCUAAUUGGGCUGCGAGCAGCUGCGAAAUUUGUAAUCGUCUAAUGAGCCUUCCGCCUCGGUAAUUCUUAUCAAAAGGCAUAAAACUGAUAUUUUCACACUCAGCUCGCACUGCAGGCGCCGUUUAUAAACAUCCUUCAUCAGUGGGAUGAAAUUAAGCCUGCAUUGACAGAGGUCUCUGGAACUCGAUAUUUAAAAGCAAUAGAUCCGAAUUAGCAAAUUAUAACUUUAAGUAGGGAAAGUCCCCACCAACUUGACUAUUGAACCCUUUGCCUCUGAGCUCCUCGGGGUGAGUAACCACACGUUUGAGAGAACUUAACCUGGAGGUUCUGCGGUGCUCAGGCAAUCUCCGGAAACUCGGAUUCCCGAAACUGCCCCUGCUACGGCUCCUCCCGCCCGCCUUCUAGGGACUCGCCUGGGUCAGACCUGUGGAGAUCGGGGCGAGGCACAGCUGGAGCCUGAGAGAAAACGUGGUCAAAGGAGGCGCAUCCAGGACUCCCGGGCGGCCUGCAGGCGCAGAAACAGAGCCCUGCUCUUGCGGACCCGAGCUUUCCCUGGCCCGCGGCCCUCACCGCCCACCUCCAGGGCUCCAGCGCCAAGGGUACAGUGGGCCAUAGGACUGUAGGAGGCGGUGGAGGAUGGGGAGACUUUCGCGAUCAUAAGAAGGUGCGGAUUCUGGCAGAAUUCUGGUUGGCGACUCCUUCGAUCCCUGAAGGUGAAAUCUCAGCUAAAACCACUCUGAAACUGUGGAUGUCACACUUGGUUCAGGGUUAGGAGACCGUGUCUUUGGAUUUUUGCCCAUCACGUGUAACCAUUAUAAAUAUUAGUCUGGAAAAAGACUUUAGGAGAUUGCUUCUAGAGGUUCUUUCCACAAACUUACCCUGCUCAGAAUCUGCAUAACCCCUCAGAGAUGGCAGAGCUGUAUACGGGCUCACCUUGGGACUUACCGGUCCCAGACUCCGUUUUAUACCUUGCUACCCACAGUUUCUGAGGGUAAGAGAGGGGUGCUUUUAUUCACGCCAGUGGAGGUCGCCAAAAGCGGGCGAGGGCCUCCGUCUGGGACCCACUGGUCUCUCUCCCACUGUGGGCCAAGACUGAGGUUUGAUGGGCUUCCCAGCUGGGCAAGCCUGCUCCACGCGGGACACCCGGGAAUCCACUGGCGGGCAGACCCUGCCUUCGCCACCCGCCCCGCGGCAUUCCUCACUGCGGUCUGAUGCGCCAGCUGGGGCCAGUUGUUUCAAGCGGUUCUGGAGGACCAAUAGCGGAAAGCCAAGUUCUGCGACCAAGAGUCUGUACGAGUGACUCGGUGUUUCUUUCCAGCCGGUUCGCAGAGCGCCAGUAAGCUCUCCCGGUCCGCUACGGAAGAAAUAGGGGAAGCGUUUCCAGUCUAAGAGAGAGGAUGGGAGAGAGAAAAUUAGGAACCACGCCGAAAUUAAGCAGGGCAGCCUGGAAAGCUUCCCGGCUAAAAGCUAUGGCGCGAAACGCUAAAGUCCAUCACACCAUUUAUUCAUUGUGACAUUUCCAAGCCGACAAUAGCGCCUUAAGCACGCCUGUGGUUUGGAGGUGCCGGUUUUAUAUGCAUUUUACUGUUUAGAAUGAUAAACAAAUCAGGACCAAUGGAAACCUGAUUCUAACCUCUUUCUACAGAACUCUGCCUGCAUAAUUCUGUAAAAGCCGAAAUCCAAGGUGGCCAGAGAGAGAGAGAGAGAAUCCAACUCUCUACCCGCCUCCCUUUACCGCGUUUCCCUACAAGUCCUAGGCAAACCGGGCAGAUAUAGCCUGGAGUUCGCUGAUCAAGAAAGAGGAUGGAACCGAGGCCCUUCAGGCUUCUCCUCCCCUUCCACAUCCCCGUUUUCCCACUUCCCCAGGGAUGUCUGAAAGCCCAACUCGGCCAGUGUGGCAGGAAAGUUAAACUUUAUCUAAGUGCAAAAACCAGAUGGUUUUCUCGGUUUCUGGGGAUAGGUGAGAGGCAGAAGUGGGGCUGUGUGAGCCUCCUAUUCACAGGCUUGGAUGACAUUUUGAUAAGGGAACCCUCAGCUCAAGUUGUUAGCCAGGGUGAAUGAGCCCCACACAAGCCUGCGCCGACCGCCCACAACUUUGGUGUCUAAGAUUGCAUAAUUUGAUGUCUAAUCAUCAGCAAGUGGAACAAAACCUGGAUUGAAUAGACGGUGACUCGAUCUCCGUACAGACUGAGGUCCAAAGGUCUGCGCUCACUUCUGGAACUUUCCUUUUGGGCCUUGACCGAACUCCUGUUAUUGUGUGCAGUAGCAGAGGCUGCGCUGCGUGGUUCAGUUUGUGCAAAGGCUAUUUAUUGUUUCUCAUUUACUGACCACUCGGGAGAAGCCUUUAGCAAUAGUUUUUCCCGACACAAACUUGAAUAAAGUCGACCCCUGCAGUUCUUCCUGAGGCUCUACAAGCUUCCUGGAUGCAGGAACCAUGUGCUGUUCUGACGACGCUCCGAAACCUAGUUCAGUGCCUGGCACUAGACAAUAAAAAAUUGCUUUCUGAAUGAAAGUAUAUGCUGGCAGGCGCAGGGGGUUUCAUGUCUUUCUCUGCCUUCUUAAUUCUAGCGCUCCUACGUCUUUGCAUAGGUACCUUCUUGCUCAGUUCCUGCAUCUUUCAAGCCCUUGAAGAGCUAGGUAAGAAAGGGCAUGAAAAUUCUGACAUAAUAAUUAGCAAGUGGCUUGUUAUUUGUCAAACGCCCCACUGAUGUUGUGGCAUAUACAACCUCACUUCUUUAAUUUGCCCAAAGUCAUAUUUUACCAAGCCAGGUCAGAAUUCAAACCCAGACAUCCGACACGGAGGGCUGACUUUUAAUUACUUUGCUAUUUUGUCUUAUAACAGAGGCUUAUAAGCUUAUAACCUCCAAGGGAUCCUCAGGCAUUAUGCUUCAUUUGAGUUCUUCCCUCCUGCGAGUCCUUCAGACCUCAGCGUUUGCAAUUAAAUUGGGAAACCUACUCUGAGUGCCUAAGAGACCAACUGAGUCAGAGCCUCUGUUUAUACAGGAGGCUCUGGGGGCGGGGAGGGGCGGCCAGUAGGAAUGUGUUGGAUAGGAGAAGCCAAGCCUGGGGCAAGCCCCCAUAGACAGACUCUGGACGCGCACUUGGAAAUGCUGUGUGUGAUGGCCAGACAUUGAUGUAGGUUUUGGCUUGCUUCAGGGUAAAAAGAGGACCCAAGAUGGACAGUCAGAAUGGGAGCUGAGGUCAUUUGGAGCCAGGCGCUGCUGCACGCCAUCCUCUCUGGCCUAGAAAGGAGAUACACCUUCGUUUACAGUCCACAAAGAGGAGGAAGAACACGGAGGAGACGCGAGGGCAGUAGAUGGAGUCUUCAUUCUUGAGUACGACAGGUCCCACUCUACAGCGGAUCACAGUAGUGUGCCCUGGGUGCCUUGGUGGCUGGGCCUAGUCUCUCCCCAGUCACAGUCCAUCCAAGCAGAAACAGGCCCUUGUCUAGGAAUUGGCUGGGAUUCCAAAGUCCUGAAAAAGGGCUGGAAGAGACCAUGCAAACUGGAAUGGUUUUACCAGCGCUUGCGAUAUUGAAAUUACUCAGCGCUAAGGGAGAAACCACUAGGUUUCUUAAGACUUGGUGUGUCUUCUUGGCAGACACACCAAGAAGAUUUGCGAACUCAGCUAUAGCUGCUGUAGGCUUAGAAACACGGCAAAAAUUGUUUCAGAAGUGAUUAAUCCCAUUUAUUUCCCUCAAAUACCACCCCCCUUCCUCAGAAGGGCCUCCGACAGGUGUUUAUUAUUAUUACUAUUAAUUUUAAAUGGAGUCUUUAGGUUGUUCCAACUUUCAGUAAUAACACCCUGAUGUGGCUAAGCUCUUUACAGUUUGCAUCAUUAUUGUUUUUGCAUCUCAAAGUUUUGGGAAGAAAUAAAUAGGCGGCAGUUUCUUUUGAAGCUUUUAAUACAUACGAUGCCUUUUUAAGGUUUCUUUCCCCUCCUCUCCUUCAGAAUACUUCUGCCCUGCUUCGGUAGUUUCGGGGUAUUGUGUGUGGGGAGGAACCUCUUGCAUUUAAAAAAAAAAAACCUGGAUUAAUACAUGUAAAUCUGUCUUUUAGAGGUCAGGAUACAGAAAAAAAGCAGGCAGUAAACUAAGCCAGAAUUCCUGCUUCUUUAAACCACCCUUCCUCCCAGGCUGAGACAACUUUUUUCCUAAAAAGACUGUAUUUCUAGAGAUGAAUUUGCAUCCUUUUAUAAGAAGUAACAUGUAUUGUUUAGCUUUGCCCGGCUUUUACAUAUGUUGUCAUAUGUAUUCCUCACAAUCUUCUGUGAAGUAGGUAUUAUUAUGCCUGACUCACAGAUGGGGAACCUGAAGCUCAGAGAGGUGUCCCACAUUCUCACGACAAAUUAGAGACAGAGGCUGAACCUAAACUCAUUACAAGGUCUUAACCAUUGUGCUGCAUGUAAAGAAUAUUUUGCGCCCUUGCAGGUUGGCUGUGUGGCUCCUCCCAGUCUCCUGAAGUAUUAUAAUAGAAGUGAGAAUUCUCUUAGAAGACCUUGAGGAUGGCGGGACUGGGGGCGGGGUAGGAGCGGCGAGUCUUGAGGGACCUGAGUACUGCGCCGGGUCAGUUAGGUGGAAAUGGAGUCAGGCGGAAAUGGAGUUAGGCACGUGUGGAGCCUGGGCCUGGGAUGGGGGCGGGGGUACCGGGGGGUGGUUGGAUGGUCUCCAGGAUGGCAAUCAGCCAGGGGAGCGAGAUGGAUCGCGUGAUGGGCGAACACUUUCUCAUCGCCUGCUGGUCAUAAAUAUUGUUGCUUUUCCUUGGUAACACCCCAACGCCCGAGGCGAGGCGGAGGCCCGCAGGGCGCCACCAUUGGGAGUUGAGGCCCUUUCUCUCUCCCGGAGGCCUGGGCUGGCGCCUGCCUUCGAAAGCGACCUCGAGAGAAACGCCCUGGAGUCAGGCAGGUCCCCACGGCUUUCAGGCCCCAGUUCUCCAGCCCCAGUGCAUGUUGGGAGCAUCCCCACCGCGCGGUGCACUCCGGGAGGCACUGACGCAUUUGGGCGCAGGGCUGGGCGACGAGAGCGGGUGCCCCGGAAACAAGCUCUGUUCAGAAAGCAGGUGGAGGACCUGUGUGAUCCUCUCCCCCGCCCUUCCUCAUCACUAAUCCAAAGUCGGUGUGGGUGGCCGCGGCUCCGAGAGCCUGGACGCCUACCCAAGGCCAGGCCCUGAGACAGGCUCCUCGCCUCGCCCUGGUGGGUUUGACCGCCGCCCUCCUCGCAUCCUUUUCCGUGGGAAACCCCAGGGCAGAGGCUUGGGUUUCACAUGGGUAACAUUCUUCUCCUGGAAUCAGAUCGGUCUUCCAGAGGAUAAGACCUUUCUUUCCUGAGAAGGAGAGCCUGAAGGAGACUCAAGGCCCAAGCCCUCCUUCCCUCAGCCGUAUCUACUGGUAAAUAGGUAGGUAAUUCUUGUCCAACACUUCAGAAGUCCCGCUGUGCACAUUCGAGCACCCCACAGAACGCUGUGAAAAUGAGAGGAAAAACCACAACAGAAGCCAGCAACAAACAACAAGGCCACGGGGGCAAGGCCUAACUAGGUCAGAACAGACAUGUGCCUGAGCUGUCCCGUGAGGUGGACAGGCUCCGGAUGCCCGAGUCGGCAAGAAAGGCUGGAGGGAGCGAUACGGCCGGGUGAGGCCGCUGUCGUUUCGGAGUGGCUUCGCCGCCUGCCUUCCUCGGCGCGGCGUCUAGGCGGGCAGGCAGUAGCCCUGGAGGGGCCAGGCGCUAGGGGCCUUGGGCCUGACCAUCACCCUGGAGGCCUGCGAUUUCAGCCUCUGGGAGGGCUUCCUCGGGGAUUCGAGUUUCUUCUACUUGGCUUUAGUUCCUGUGCCAGCCAUAGCCCUUGGUCCUUAGAACUUUUAAUACUAUGGUGUAAUGCUUGGGCAAAUACAUGUAACUGACCACGCACGAGUAUACAGCCCUUUUAAAAGGUAAAAGGAGUGUGUGUGUGUGUGUGUAUGUGUGUGUGUGUGUGUGUCUACCUACGCGCGCGCCUGUGAGAUUCUUCUGGGCUGAGAAUGUUUUCCCUUCCAAAUGAUGGAUAGAAGGCCUUAGAUCCUCUGAAUUUCUUAGGUUAAAUCAAGGACUUAUUUCCUUUUCCUAUGAUUAGUUUCUUUUAACAUGUAUUAAUAAUUAUAUCAUUAAUUUUGGCCACCCUCAUAGAAGUUUAAUGCCAAUAUAUAAGAGAAUGCAAAAGGGAAAAUAUUUGUAUGCCAAGUUUAGUCUGGAAAAAUAUCAGUAGCAUUUCUUAUUUGACAAAGACAUGCACUUAAAUUUUUUUUUUCCCAGUUGGCAAGGGUAUUGUUUUUAAAUGUAUAUUCCAUGAUUAUUGUUUCUGUUUGGUACUUUGGUCAUUUGGAACACAUCUGUUUCUGAUAUUGUUCCUGUGUUAAGCACACACUGUUGUGUUAGCAAGAUUUUACACCAUCUAAGAAAAUUCUUGCCAGUGCUAUUUGAUGCCCUGUUGAACUUUAGCCAAACUUCAUUUUAUAAUGUUCUCUCAGUCCUGAGCAUAUAUAAUAUAUUUUAAUGAAAUUACGCUUCUGUAUUGACUGGCAGACAUCAGAAACACAUUCACAUAGGUCAAAAGCAGUUGAGCUAAGUGUUGGGUGGGAGGAACUAUUAAAACAGUACAGGAAAAAUAUUUGGAAACAAAACAAAACUUUAAAAUAAAAUAACCCAAAUAAACAAUUCUCUCUCUCUCUCUCUCUCUCACACACACACACACACACACGCACACAGAACUUGGAUGUGGCUAUUGGGAGUUAAUGUAUAAUUCUGAUAAUUUGUGUAUUUCUUCAUUAUAUUAAACUUGGAAUUUAUAUUUUUGACAUUAUUCCAAAGGUGUAAUAAUUGACUUUUAAAAUAGAAUAACAUUGUAAUGGGAUCAUAUUAAGCAUAUAUUAAAUGUAACACAAAUAAGCACUGAGUCUACCUAAAGUGGUAUUUUUUUUUAAUUUUGUGGCUACUCAGGGGUUUUGCAUUAUAUUAUCAAAAGCUAACAACCUUAAGGCCAUUUGUGGUAAUUCAAAAAAUGUUCAAGCAUCUAUGCUUGAUGGCUAAGCUUAUAUCUAACAGUGGAAUAACUGCAAGGCAGGAAUUGGCUUGAAAAAGCAAAUAUUGGCUGUGUAUUUCAAAUAUCUUUUCUAGAAUGGAACACUUUGGUUGAUAGAUUGACCUAUUUUGUUUACAUCCAAUAUGUGUACCCCAGUAUAAAACUUAAAAAAUGGCAAUUUCUCAUGAUAUUUUAGUUAUAAGUCUAGAAAUAUCAACCUUGACAUUUGGUUUAAUAAGCUUCUGCCACUUAUUCCUAGAUCAGUAUUUUUCAAUUGACAAAUAAGUUUUCUUUGCGAUCUACCAAAACCAGGUUGUCACAUUCUUUUAGUUGUUACCUGGACAGACUGCUUUUAUUGCUCAUUAAUCAGAUGCUGUGGUUAAGGUGUGUCUAUUAAAUAACUACUUAGGGAUGUAUCGUCAUUCUGUUUGUUUAUUUAAGAAAACAAAUUUUUGUUUUGGUGUAAUUUCUAAAUAAAAUAUAUUCAUGGUAAUGUGGAUAAUUGACAUUAUUUAUACAAAUCAUUUGGAAUUGAGUACCUUGUUAACUGUGUAAUAAGUAUGGUUAUAAAAAGAGAAUGAGUAUCAUAACAUUUUUGCCUAUAUACACUUUUAAAUAUUUAUCAGGAUCUACAUUUUUCUUAAACUGUUAAUUUGGAUGUGUUGAAAUGUAGCCUAUAAAUUUCUUUUUAAGUAAUUGUUACUAAAAAACCUUAUGGAUCUUCACAUGUCUGGUUCCAAUUAAUCUGCUUAGACUAAUGGAUAAAAUAAUAAACCUGAUUUAGUCAAUCUGGACUUCUAUAUGAGUUUUCUAUGUGCCUCUUUAAGGUCUAAUGCCUUCUCCUACACAUAUUUAGUUCUUAGUUAUACUCUUAUAAAACGUGGGAUUGGAAGAAUAAUUAAUUUGAUUCAUUUUCUUAAAAAAAUUUUGCAGUUACAUCAGUACAAAAAGGCAUCUUCAAAUGAGUGUCAAUGAUUAUCAAAAGAAAACUAUAUACAUCUUUGUGAAUUUAAUUAAUCAAGUAUGUAUUGAGCACCUACUAUGUACCAGGAACUGGGGAUACAAAGAAUAAGACAUGGGUGGUCCUUGUUCUCAGAAAAUUCUCAAUCUUUUAAGGAGACUGACAAAAAUACAACUAGCUCAUCCCUGUAAUUCUUUAAUGAUUUUUAUCUACCCCCUGGACUUUGAAUUAGUAAAGUAUCAGAUGAUCCCAAUACUUUGUGUAUGUUUUAAAAAUCUUAAAGGCAU
RNAcentral lists this long non-coding RNA (9546 nucleotides) under Homo sapiens (human). Its description in RNAcentral is "HSALNT0009083". Lineage: Eukaryota; Metazoa; Chordata; Mammalia; Primates; Hominidae. The record is from RNAcentral.